Long non-coding RNA from Mastomys coucha (southern multimammate mouse), 3654 nucleotides. RefSeq lists it as uncharacterized. The transcript has 2 exons. Lineage: Eukaryota; Metazoa; Chordata; Mammalia; Rodentia; Muridae. The record is from RefSeq and is a predicted model, not a curated record.
UAACACCUCCUCAUGGUCUCACCCAGUCAAGCCUACCCUACUGCCUUUGGACUACACCAUGCUCCUCAGAUCACCCACCGGGACAUCUUCUGGCUCUCUCACAUGUUACCUGACACCCCAGGUCCCCACCUCCCGUAGUGCUCCUCCGGACUGGUUCCAGCAAUGGCCUGUUUACCCUGGAAUCUGGAGGGCCUUUGGCCAGACUGAGACAGCAGCCUGAGGAAGGCAGCCUGGUCCUCCCUGCUGGUUUCUGUGGUUCUCAGCUCUAACGGUGUGAUGUACUUCCUCUGCUACACGAAUGCAGUAAGAGUUCCCCGCUCCCUCACCUGGGACAGAAAAAUACAUCGCCAAGCAAAAUGCUGAAGACUCUGGACAGGCUGCCAGAAAUGUUAGAGGUCCUGUCUUGACACUGCAGUUAUCCUGGCACAACAGAGACAGGUCAGGCACAAACACCCAAGACCCAAGAGGAGAGAAUAUACAAGCCUGGCCUCUCCAGUCAGCAUGUUUCCAGUAGCUCCUCUUUCGUGCAUAAAGCUAACACUCUGGUCGGUAUCAGAAGAACUUGCCAUCCAUGAAAAUGACUUAAUUUCUGAAGUUUCUGCAAAACCUUGAGAUUCAAAGGAAGACAAGAGACUUCGAACAGUAGCCACAGCUCAGGAAACCCCGGAAGCCAGGUGGAAGAGGUGGAGAGGAGCGGGAAGUUAAGCACAAGACGCAGGUGCCCAGGUUAGCCAUGUUUGCCUGGUGUUCUCAGUAUCUAUGCCCUGGCUUCCUGCAUUGUUCAUCGGGCUUUAGUUCUUUCUCAACAAACCACGAUCGGGACCAUUUUAUCCUGUGAAUGUCCCCCAGAGAUUAAACAAACCAAAGAUCCUGCAGUAGUGACUGCCUGGCAAGACUUUGCAAAUAGCAGCCACCGCUUCUCUGACCCUCUCUGCCCCCAUUUCUAAGGCACACUUGGCUUUGCUUCCUUAAAUAGCGGGAGGAGUGACCCAACGGACUCAGUGUCAAAGCUCACACCUAACCGAUUCCUGCAGGUUCCUUUCCCAGCCACUGUUCGCCAGCUCUGUGGAAUGGCCAGCACCAACUGAAGGCACAGACAACCGACAUCCUCAAACAAAUUAAUAAUCUUGAAGUCACAGGAGCAGGCUGUAUUCAAGUUUCCCAAAGAACACUGAAGACUAUCAAGGUGUACGUGCGUUAAAUGGACAUCACAUUGGUAGUGAUGAACUACAAGUUAACAGUAAACUUGGGUGUAGAUGGUCUUCAUAGAGGACCAGCCACCCUCCUGAUUGACUUCAGAGAAGCCAGUACACGGGCAGACUCUGAGCAGCCAUUCCCAUCAGCAGAGGCAACCGGGUGGUAAAACGUAGAACUGUAGGGAAAGGCUCUUCAAUGGACAGUCAUCUUAUAAAAAUCUCACAACGGGACUGGAGGGAAAGUAUUCCAUUUGUGUGACAUUCAUGUGAGGCUGCAGGCAGGGAGCCCAACUUCUCUGCACACCAGGACUGUGAGGAAGGGACCCAAGGACUCAGUCCCUUGCCAGGUCACCUCCCAAGCUAUGUCACCCCCUGGACUGCUCACCCCCUGGGCAGCUUGCCCUCUGGCCUUUCAAAACAUGCUCACCCAUCUAAUCAAAUGUCUUCAGUGUCCUCAAAUAAAGUUCAAAGCUUACGGGAGCCCAGAAGGGCCAUGUCCAACCAGGUACCUGCCUCUGGCAUCCUCCCCAGCGUACUCUGGAAACUCUCUUACCAUUGCAUCCCUUUUGGUUCUUUGGAUUCCUCAAGCCUGGAACCUGACUACCAACUAGCCUGCAAACUCCUACCUUACCUACCCUGGCUACACAUUCCUACAAGUCCUAAGGCUUCUUUGCAAAUCCUCCCCUGUCCCAACUUGAACCUGUAAGCCCUACUCUCCUUCCCUGUGUACUUUAACACUCUCUCCUGCCAUGAAUAAACACCCCAGCAGAGCUGUCUCUGAGGUCUUCAUACCUCUUCUACCAACCUCGUCAGGCAGGGAGUGAGUUAACCCAACGCUCAAACCCAAUGAAGGGAGCACCUGGCACCAGAACCAAAUAACAAAGCUAAUGAGCCCUGAGCGUUCCAGACCGCCAGCCAAGCCAGUCCGUGACCCUCCUUAGGGUUUGACAAGGCCCCCAAAAUGCUGCUUCAUGUUACCAAUGGGUAGAUGAGUCACCCGCACAGCCAGUGCCAAAACCACUCUCAGGAGACAGGCCAAAAAAAUAUUCCACCCAUCAAUUGGUUUUCCUCUCCUGCCAGACUGGCGAAGUCCUGUGACACUGAACUGCAGUCUGGAGGGAGAACUGGCCUGGCCAUCAGCAGCCGGGGACCAGGAACUUCUCUCAAUGAACUCAGAGGUUCCCGAAGUCAAGCCGGCACCUUUCCCUGUGCUAAAUAAAUCACAAUGCAGUCUUUCUGAUAGCAUGCCCAUAAAUCUCCCCAGAUUCUACAGCAUAACCCGAGGAGCUCGAGACCUUGGAUCUCGACCCUGCAGACAAGGAAGUCACCACUUGCCCCCUUCCUAGGGGCAACCGUCAAACAUGGUGGGAAGUGCUUCAUAGAUUUUAAACAGAAUAAAAGUAAGAGUCAUUGUAAGGGAAGCUUAUACUGAAAGAUGCAUAUGUUUAUGAGGUGCUCCCUGAACACAGCUUAGGAUCAUACUGUGGUUACACGGUAAACAUGGUCCCCUCACUCUAGAGAAGGAGGCAAGAGACUCCCCGUGAGUUCAAGACCAACGUAGUCUAUUCACGGCUACAUACUGAGACCCUGUCUCAAUCAAUAUAAAAUGUGCACAUGAUGAACCUCAACACAAACCUGGCGUCAACGGCAGGAAUGCAAAUCCUAUUGACCAACCUGAAAACAUCAACUUCAGACAAGCAGCUUAAAGAACACAACACAACAAACAAACAAACAAACAGAAACCCCACAAAAGUGUUUGUUCAAAAAAGAUCCCUGUAGCCAGCCGCACCCUUGAAUCUCGACACACAUUAAACCAUGUGAAUGGCUCCAUCAACCGGUGUGGGGACCACUGCUGAUGUGAACGAACUUCCUCCCUUUUAGCACCCUCUUUUGUUCUAAAAGGAACACGUAGUUAUUGAAUAAUAAUGUGAAUUCAGUGCAGAAACAGACUUUUGGUUUGGGAGAGGUGAUAAUAUUUAGAAAAAUAUUUUAAAAUAUUUAAAAAGCAUCCGUCUUGUCGACAACUCCUGCGUCUAUAAAGUACUCACAAUGGUGGCAGCAUGUUUCCCAAGCCGCAGCCAAGCAAGGCACAGAACCCUCUAAGGCAAGCUGCUUCCUACCUUCCUACGGUCUUUCUAUGCUUCAGGCAGAGCCGACCAGCCUAUGUCUGGGUCCUGGAGCACAAACUACAGUAUCUCCUCUCUCUUCUUCCUCUUCCUUAUCCCCCCCUCCUCUACCUCUAUCGGGCUCCUCCUCUUCCUCCUCCUCCCAGGAUCUUGAACAAAGGGCAAGGUAAACACACUUGCUCUUUAAAGGUCAUCUGGAAUGUCCAAAGAACCAAAACCCAGCACUCUGUUCGGAUGAUGAGACAUCCUGACCAAGUCACGCCUUCAACAGGUCACUGCCCUGACCACAAAAUGCUCCAUUUACCCAAUAUUUAAGAAUAAACUCCAGUACG